AAGGAUCAUUACACAAUAUUACGGGGGGCCGGACCCCAAAACUGCUUGCAGCUUUGGGCCUGCCCUGUCUGAUAUUCUACCCAUGUCUUUUGCGUACUUUUCGUUUCCUUGGUGGGCUUGCCUGCCAAUAGGACAACCAAUUAAACCUUUUUGUAAUUGCAAUCAGCGUCUGAAAAAACUUUAAUAGUUACAACUUUCAACAACGGAUCUCUUGGUUCUGGCAUCGAUGAAGAACGCAGCGAAAUGCGAUAAGUAGUGUGAAUUGCAGAAUUCAGUGAAUCAUCGAAUCUUUGAACGCACAUUGCGCCCCUUGGUAUUCCAUGGGGCAUGCCUGUUCGAGCGUCAUUUGUACCCUCAAGCUCUGCUUGGUGUUGGGUGUUUGUCCCGCCUUUGGUGCGUGGACUCGCCUCAAAAUAAUUGGCAGCCGGCAUAUUGGCCUUGGAGCGCAGCACAUUUUGCGCUUCUAGUCAAUGAUUGUUGGCGUCCAGCAAGUACAAAUCUCAACUUUUGACCUCGGAUCAGGUAGGGAUACCCGCUGAACUUAA
RNAcentral lists this ribosomal RNA (545 nucleotides) under Pyrenochaeta sp. DTO 305-C6. Its description in RNAcentral is "eukaryotic LSU rRNA". The stretch from base 192 to 345 matches the Rfam family "5.8S ribosomal RNA". Lineage: Eukaryota; Fungi; Ascomycota; Dothideomycetes; Pleosporales; Cucurbitariaceae. RNAcentral also lists the same sequence under 1 other name. The record is from RNAcentral.